Long non-coding RNA from Homo sapiens (human), 709 nucleotides. RefSeq lists it as uncharacterized. The transcript has 4 exons. The record is from RefSeq and is a predicted model, not a curated record. NCBI's taxonomy places the organism in Eukaryota, Metazoa, Chordata, Mammalia, Primates, Hominidae.
UCUAGUUGCCCUCUGUAGGCCCAAUUUCUCUGCUGCAAAGAAGGCUCCUGGUAUUUACAGCCAUUUAAAAGAAAGGCAAGGAAAUGUCCAUAAAGGAUUUUAAUGGAUUCCUAAUAACAUUAACUUAGCUCGAUACUCUCUGCUCCUCUUAGACUGAUUUUUAAAAGUUUUCCUAGAAUGUGAGCAGUUCCUCAGUUUACAGGUUAAAAGAAAGAGUUGCCCUCCCAGAGACAAGUUAGACUACCCUCUAAAGAGUGCUGUCAAACCAAUACUGUGCCAGGCCACAGGAGAGACAUCCUGAUGAAUGCUGGAACUUGGCUAUUGCUAUCAUGGUUUAUAAGCAUAACAGAUAGCCUAGACACUAUGGAUGGAAGCUUGGAAUAUCAUCGGAUAGAGUGGCACCAUCAGAGGAAUUCCUGGUAUUACCAAAUGAAGUAGGCAUGGGAACAGUUUUUGUGACAAAUAUUUUGGAUGUCUUCACUCUACCCCUCACCCACUGUAGGGAAGUGAAGGCAUGAGAAUUUGAACAGAAGAGACACCCUACUACCUGUACUUCCUACACAAGACCCAGUGACCACAGGCUCCCAACAAAUGAGCCAGGCCUCUGCUUAUUCUUCAACACGCAUAUCACAUCACCCUAGCAAGAAAUGGAUUUCCUCUGCAUUAUUGUUUAUCUGGAGAGAAUAACAGUUCACAAAGUCCAAUCAGA